UUGAAGAGUUUGAUCAUGGCUCAGAUUGAACGCUGGCGGCAGGCCUAACACAUGCAAGUCGAACGGUAACAGGAAACAGCUUGCUGUUUCGCUGACGAGUGGCGGACGGGUGAGUAAUGUCUGGGAAACUGCCUGAUGGAGGGGGAUAACUACUGGAAACGGUAGCUAAUACCGCAUAACGUCGCAAGACCAAAGAGGGGGACCUUCGGGCCUCUUGCCAUCGGAUGUGCCCAGAUGGGAUUAGCUAGUAGGUGGGGUAACGGCUCACCUAGGCGACGAUCCCUAGCUGGUCUGAGAGGAUGACCAGCCACACUGGAACUGAGACACGGUCCAGACUCCUACGGGAGGCAGCAGUGGGGAAUAUUG
Molecule: ribosomal RNA, 366 nt
Filed under: Ochromonas sp. CCMP1393
Lineage: Eukaryota; Chrysophyceae; Chromulinales; Chromulinaceae
Description: partial Bacterial small subunit ribosomal RNA
Rfam family: Bacterial small subunit ribosomal RNA
Source: RNAcentral